RNAcentral lists this ribosomal RNA (478 nucleotides) under uncultured anaerobic ammonium-oxidizing bacterium. Its description in RNAcentral is "bacterial SSU rRNA". It matches the Rfam family "Bacterial small subunit ribosomal RNA", at positions 364 to 832 of the family's 1533-position model. The record is from RNAcentral.
UUUCGCAAUGCCCGAAAGGGUGACGAAGCGACGCCGCGUGAGUGAAGAAGGCCUUCGGGUUGUAAAACUCUGUCAGGAGUUAUGAAAUGUAGAUUCGAUAAUACCGGAUUUACUUGACAAAGGCUCCAGAGGAAGCCACGGCUAACUCUGUGCCAGCAGCCGCGGUAAUACAGAGGUGGCAAGCGUUGUUCGGAAUUAUUGGGCGCAAAGAGCACGUAGGUGGAUUUGUAAGUCAGAUGUGAAAGCCUUCUGUUCAACGGGAGAAUUGCAUCUGAAACUACAAACCUUGAGUGUAGGAGGGGAGAAUGGAACUUCUGGUGGAGCGGUGAAAUGCGUAGAUAUCAGAAGGAACGCCGGCGGCGAAAGCGAUUCUCUGGCCUAUUACUGACACUCAGUGUGCGAAAGCUAGGGGAGCAAACGGGAUUAGAUACCCCGGUAGUCCUAGCCGUAAACGAUGGGCACUAAGUAGAGGGGUUUU